RNAcentral lists this small RNA (520 nucleotides) under uncultured Glomus. RNAcentral describes it as "SSU rRNA". It matches the Rfam family "Eukaryotic small subunit ribosomal RNA", at positions 569 to 1090 of the family's 1831-position model. Lineage: Eukaryota; Fungi; Glomeromycota; Glomeromycetes; Glomerales; Glomeraceae. The record is from RNAcentral.
AGCAGCCGCGGUAAUUCCAGCUCCAAUAGCGUAUAUUAAAGUUGCUGCAGUUAAAAAGCUCGUAGUUGAAUUUCGGGACCAUCAUGUUGGUCGUGCCUCGGUACGUACUGGCAUUGUUGGUUUCUCCCUUCUGACGAACCAUGAUGUCAUUUAUUUGGUGUCGUGGGAAAUCAGGACUGUUACUUUGAAAAAAUUAGAGUGUUUAAAGCAGGCUCACGCUUGAAUACAUUAGCAUGGAAUAAUGAAAUAGGACGUUUGAUUCUAUUUUGUUGGUUUCUAGGAUCGACGUAAUGAUUAAUAGGGAUAGUUGGGGGCAUUAGUAUUCAAUUGUCAGAGGUGAAAUUCUUGGAUUUAUUGAAGACUAACUACUGCGAAAGCAUUUGCCAAGGAUGUUUUCAUUAAUCAAGAACGAAAGUUAGGGGAUCGAAGACGAUCAGAUACCGUCGUAGUCUUAACCAUAAACUAUGCCGACUAGGGAUCGGAUGAUGUUAAUUUUUUCAAUGACUCAUUCGGCGCCUUA